This 241-nucleotide ribosomal RNA is filed under the name uncultured bacterium. RNAcentral describes it as "partial 16S ribosomal RNA". It matches the Rfam family "Bacterial small subunit ribosomal RNA", at positions 536 to 776 of the family's 1533-position model. The record is from RNAcentral.
UAGCGUUGUCCGGAUUUAUUGGGCGUAAAGAGUGUGUAGGCGGCCAUGUAGGUCCUUUGUGAAAACUCGAGGCUCAACCUCGAGACGCCGAUGGAAACCAUGUGGCUAGAGUCCGGAAGAGGAGAGUGGAAUUCCUGGUGUAGCGGUGAAAUGCGCAGAUAUCAGGAAGAACACCCGUGGCUAAGGCGGCUCUCUAGUACGGUACUGACGCUGAGACGCGAAAGCGUGGGGAGCGAACAGG